CAAAGACACACAGAUAACAAUAAAACGUGCAAGUAGAGGAAAAAAGCCCAGCCAAUUCAAGAGAGAGGCUCCUCUUGUCUGGCCCAAGUAUGUAACCAGUUGCACACAGGCACACUGGUCGCUGCGCCUGCAUCACACAGAAGUGGGAACAUCCUCCGUUGUUGACUGAGCACUGCUUGUUCACGUCUGGAAACAGUUUUCUCAUCAUUCUCAAACCAUUCCCUGGCCUCCUCCAUCGUGCAGACUUCCUCUCUACAUUCCCGCUCCAGGUUGUC
Long non-coding RNA from Thunnus maccoyii (southern bluefin tuna), 275 nucleotides. RefSeq lists it as uncharacterized. The transcript is spliced from 3 exons. The record is from RefSeq and is a predicted model, not a curated record. NCBI's taxonomy places the organism in Eukaryota, Metazoa, Chordata, Actinopteri, Scombriformes, Scombridae.